RNAcentral lists this long non-coding RNA (1286 nucleotides) under Mus musculus (house mouse). Its description in RNAcentral is "RIKEN cDNA 1810053B23 gene, transcript variant 2 (1810053B23Rik)". Lineage: Eukaryota; Metazoa; Chordata; Mammalia; Rodentia; Muridae. The record is from RNAcentral.
GUACUGCAGGCUUCAGCUGACCUGGACUUUCCAGAGUGUCUCUUUUGGUGAGAGACAUUCGGUGUCCCACGUGUUGUGACCUUUUCUUACGGGAACAGCUGGAGGUUGCAAACAUGGUCGAGAAAGAACUCGCAGCUGAGACCCAUCUCAGGAGGUGCCUGUCUCCUCCAGGGCCACUCAACACAUCCAAUACUGUGACACAGGUAGGCUAGCCUCCUUCUCCUCUUUCCACCCUGUCUUUAGGAUCAUCUCCAGACAUCGAAGGGCAUCAUUAUCACGGAUAAGAACACAGAUGCUGGGGCUGGAGAGAUGGCGCAGAGGUUAAGAGCUGGCACUAAUCUUUCAGAGGACUGGAGUUUGGUUCCCAUCCCCAUGUUGGGCAGAUCAUGACGACCUGUGACUACAGCUUCAGAGGGCCUAGAACCUUCUUCUGGAGACCCUGCAUGCUCUGCCUUCAUGUGCUCCUUCCCCUAAGACACAGACGUAAGCACACAAUCAAUUUAUAACGAAAAAAAAAAAAAACACAGUCACUGGUUCUGUGUGGCUUCCCGGGGAGGAGCCUCUGGGCUUCAGUCCAUAUCUGUGAAAUGGGUUAAUGAGAACACCUUUGUCCUGGACACUGAAAAGGUCAGAAUAAUGAAGCUAGCCUGCACGGUGUCAACCUCAAGCAUUGUGGCUGUCACCACUGAUGACCAAUUGAUUACAUAGUCUCAUGGGGAAGAUCAAAGGGGCUAUCUUAGUCCACCUUUCUCACGCCACGAUGGGAGAGUCUAGUUGAUCUAAGUGAGACCGAUGUUCUGCUUGGUUUUUGAAAGACUCUCAGCGAGUGCCAGGCUGUGGUGGCAUGGAAGCCCCAGACUCCAGACUCCCAACUGGUUAUUCCUGUGUCAAGAUUAGGAAGUUGUGACCCUUUAUCUAAACAAAAUUGGGUCUGAAAGCAUCUACUAUGUCGCCAUUGUUGUUCCCAGAAACCAAGAUCAAUAAUUGUGAACUGCAGCAAAAUGCCACAAGAAAGCAGAUUCCACAAUCCCAACCACAGGCCGUGGGAGGCCCUGGCUCUCCCUGCCUAGCACAGCCAGGGCUGGGAAAAGAUACCACAGGGGCUUCCCCCUCUUCCCUCAGAUAAGGGAGAGAACGAUAACAGAUCUGCAGUCAAACCAGGAUGGCAAAUCUGCAUGUACUGCUCACACACCGUUCUGAGAUGGUUUUAUGUUUUUAAGUUCAUUCAAUUACUAGGUAACGCUUUGUAGGUAGGUUGAAUUAUUAAACCCACUUUUUUUUUUAUG